UCCAGGGCUACACACGUGCUACGAAUGGGCGAGACAGAGCGACGCGAAGCCGCGAGGUGGAGCAAAUCGACAGAAAAUCGCCCUCAGUUCGGAUUGGAGUCUGAAACCCGACUCCAUGAAGGUGGAAUCGCUAGUAAUCGCGCAUCAGCAUGGCGCGGUGAAUACGUUCCCGGGCCUU
RNAcentral lists this ribosomal RNA (178 nucleotides) under uncultured Spirochaetaceae bacterium. RNAcentral describes it as "partial 16S ribosomal RNA". It matches the Rfam family "Bacterial small subunit ribosomal RNA", at positions 1207 to 1382 of the family's 1533-position model. Lineage: Bacteria; Pseudomonadati; Spirochaetota; Spirochaetia; Spirochaetales; Spirochaetaceae. The record is from RNAcentral.